AACGAACGCUGGCGGCAGGCUUAACACAUGCAAGUCGAGCGCCCCGCAAGGGGAGCGGCAGACGGGUGAGUAACGCGUGGGAAUCUACCGUGCCCUACGGAAUAACGCAUGGAAACGUGUGCUAAUUCCGUAUACGCACUACGGGGGAAAGAUUUAUCGGGGUAUGAUGAGCCCCCGUUGGAUUAGCUAGUUGGUGGGGUAAAGGCCUACCAAGGCGACGAUCCAUAGCUGGUCUGAGAGGAUGAUCAGCCACAUUGGGACUGAGACACGGCCCAAACUCCUACGGGAGACAGCAGUGGGGAAUAUUGGACAAUGGGCGCAAGCCUGAUCCAGCCAUGCCGCGUGAGUGAUGAAGGUCUUAGGAUUGUAAAGCUCUUUCACCGGUGAAGAUAAUGACGGUAACCGGAGAAGAAGCCCCGGCUAACUUCGUGCCAGCAGCCGCAGUAA
RNAcentral lists this ribosomal RNA (447 nucleotides) under uncultured bacterium. RNAcentral describes it as "partial 16S ribosomal RNA". It matches the Rfam family "Bacterial small subunit ribosomal RNA", at positions 29 to 523 of the family's 1533-position model. The record is from RNAcentral.